Long non-coding RNA from Ahaetulla prasina, 873 nucleotides. RefSeq lists it as uncharacterized. The transcript is spliced from 3 exons. The record is from RefSeq and is a predicted model, not a curated record. Lineage: Eukaryota; Metazoa; Chordata; Lepidosauria; Squamata; Colubridae.
ACCAAUUCAGGUGAGCCGGAUGCUAUUUUUACAUCUGGUUCGCUGAACCAGUAGUUGCAAUGACUGGAUGGCCCCUCCCCUCCCAGGAGUCUCCAUGCAGCCCGUUUUGGAUGCCAGGUCAAAGAGCAUUUGAAGGAUGCACCUGAUAUCCCAGGAAGAUCAUCACUGUAAGAAGAUUCAAUAGACUUUGUUCCUCCACUAGAAAAGGAAUAGCUUAAGGAACUCUGCUCCUCUCUGCCAGAAGAAACAAUCAACUUCCUAAUGUGUUGUUCCUCUGGGACCAUAGAACAGAAGCAUGAAUUUGAUAAGUCUGGAAGAUGUACAUGAACUUUACCUGGUUUGGAUAUAUAUCUACUGCCUUAAAUAUUCAUUUGAAUCUUAUUGAACUAAAAUUACACUAUUAUACUGGACAACAAUUUUUCUCAAAACUUUUGCUUUUUUAAAAAAAACUUUUGGUGAGUAUGAUACUCCUUCAAACUGAAUAUAAAAACAAUUUCAGAAUGACUAUAUUAGAUAGAAAUCUUGAGAAAUAUGAAAUUCACCUUUAAUGACCAUAUUGAUUUAAUUACAUAGUAUUUCCAAUGUGCUACCUGAGUUCAACAGGGCUAAAAGUGUUUUGAUGAUGAUUUCCAUUUACAUUCAGUGUUUGAUGCAUCUUGCUGCAAUGUCCAACAAUAGUCAGCUACCAUUGAUGGAUUCCAGUUGCCCUGAUUAAAGCACCAGGUUAGAAAGCAAGAGACAUAACCCUCAAUCAAGUAUCAAUCAAAACUAGGUGUGCAUACCCCUUACCUCUCCUACUCCAAACACUACAGGUCUCAAAUGUAAAUUAAUAAAUGCAAGAAGUAUUGUAAACAAAUUAUCCGAAUUUAUCCU